AUUAACUAAGAGUUCACUCAGAACUGACUAUAAAUGGACAAGAGCAAAAUUUUUCCAUAAUGAAACUUUAAAAAUAAAAAAACCCAUGCUCAAAUCUAGUUUAAAAUGGUGCUUGGCAGAAUUCAGUGAGUUUCUAAGCAGUGAGUGAGCCACGGAGUAUGUUGGUGAGUGAAAGAGUGAACAAAUGAAAACUAAUUUCCCAGAAGUCUCUCUGGUAAGCCUUAACUAGGCCCACAUAUUUCAUGCACUCCACUCAGCAAGUUAUGUGUAAUAGUUAUGUAAUGAUAUUACAAUUCACUGUGAUAUAACUACUACACCAUCCACACACACACACACACAUAUACAGGAGAGGAUAAAAGUACGUUAUAGUUCU
Phyllostomus discolor (pale spear-nosed bat) is the source of this 373-nucleotide long non-coding RNA. RefSeq lists it as uncharacterized. The record is from RefSeq and is a predicted model, not a curated record. The transcript has 3 exons. NCBI's taxonomy places the organism in Eukaryota, Metazoa, Chordata, Mammalia, Chiroptera, Phyllostomidae.